This is a non-coding RNA of Xylaria sp. FL1042, 107 nucleotides long. NCBI's taxonomy places the organism in Eukaryota, Fungi, Ascomycota, Sordariomycetes, Xylariales, Xylariaceae. The record is from the annotation of a GenBank genome assembly.
GGUCCCAUAACUCAGUUGGUUAGAGUGUCGUACUAAUAGUAUAACUGAUCCACCACGUUAUAACAUUGGUAAUGCGAAAGUCGUGAGUUCGAGCCUCACUGGGACCA